AGCUCCAGUAGCGUAUAUUAGAGUUGUUGCGGUUAAAAAGCUCGUAGUUGGAUUUCUGUUGAGGACGAUUGGUCCAUGUUUUGCAUGAGAAUCAACUCGGCCUCGGCAUCCUCUUGAAAAUCGUGUUUGUGCUUCAUUGUAUGAUCCGAGAUUCAAGACUUUUACUUUGAGGAAAUUAGAGUGUUCACGGCAGGCUGUCGCCUUGAAUACAUUAGCAUGGAAUAAUACUAUAGGACCUUGGUUCUAUUUUGUUGGUUCCUAGAGCUGAGGUAAUGAUUAAUAGGGACGAUUGGGGGCACUCGUAUUAACGCGUCAGAGGUGAAAUUCUUGGAUUGCGUUACGACGAACUACUGCGAAAGCAUUUGCCAAGGAUGUUUUCA
RNAcentral lists this ribosomal RNA (380 nucleotides) under uncultured eukaryote. RNAcentral's name for it is "SSU rRNA". It matches the Rfam family "Eukaryotic small subunit ribosomal RNA", at positions 587 to 972 of the family's 1831-position model. The record is from RNAcentral.